Molecule: ribosomal RNA, 774 nt
Filed under: uncultured Neocallimastigales
Lineage: Eukaryota; Fungi; Neocallimastigomycota; Neocallimastigomycetes; Neocallimastigales
Description: partial large subunit ribosomal RNA
Rfam family: Eukaryotic large subunit ribosomal RNA
Source: RNAcentral
UCAGACGAUGCGUCAUGCAUAUCAAUAAGCGGAGGAAAAGAAACUAACAAGGAUUCCCCUAGUAACGGCGAGUGAAGCGGGAAGAGCUCAAAUUUGAAAUCUUAAAGGGUUUCCCUUUACGAAUUGUAGUUUAAAGAAGUGUUUUCUGUUGAGGUUUUGGUAAAAGUUCUUUGGAAUAGGACAUCAUAGAGGGUGAGAAUCCCGUAUUUGACCUUUACUUUCAACUUUGUGAUACACUUUCAAAGAGUCGGAUUGUUUGGGAAUGCAGUCCAAAAUGGGUGGUAAAUUUCAUCUAAAGCUAAAUAUUGGCGAGAGACCGAUAGCGAACAAGUACCGUGAGGGAAAGAUGAAAAGAACUUUGAAAAGAGAGUUAAACAGUACGUGAAAUUGUCAAAAGGGAAGCGUUUGACACCAGUGUUGUUUUUCUGAAAAUCAAUUAAAGAACUGUUUAUGCUAAGCUGUUUAGACUUUAUCAGCUAUCUGUUUAGUUUUGAGCUUUUCUUUAAUGCACUUUUCAGUUAACAAGUCAACAUCAAUUUCUUUUGCUGUAAAAAAGCUUGAGGAAGGUGGCUUGAGAUUCGUCUUAAGUGUUUAUAGCCUCUUGCCUAUGCAGUCGGAGAGAUUGAGGUCUGCAGCGUAGAUCCUUCGGGGCUAAAUGCAUUCGUGCUAAGUUAUAGCAUUUCAUAGACAACUUGUUGACUAUGAUUUGUCUUGUAGCUUACUCGCUUAUGUUAUUUUACCUACGCUUAGGAUGUUGAAUCUGUGCGAGACUAC